CUGGUUUCAGAGCUGGUCAUGGGUGCACCUCAACCACGCUCAAGGUCCUAAACGAUAUCUUAACCGCCAUCGAUAAGAAACAAUAGUGUACAGCCGUAUUCAUUGACCUGGCAAAGGCUUUUGACUCUGUCAAUCACCACAUCCUCAUCGGCAGACUCAACAGCCUUGGUUUCUCAAAUGAUUGCCUCGCCUGGUUCACCAACUACUUCUCUGAUAGAGUUCAGUGUGUCAAAUCGGGGGGCCUGUUGUCCGGGCCUCUGGCAGUCUCUAUGGGGGUGCCACAGGGUUCAAUUCUUGGGCCGACUCUCUUCUCUCUAUACAUCAAUGAUGUCGCUCUUGCUGCUGGUGAGUCUCUGAUCCACCUCUACGCAGACGACACCAUUCUGUAUACUUCUGGCCCUUCUUUGGACACUGUGUUAACAACCCUCCAGACGAGCUUCAAUGCCAUACAACUCUCCUUCCCUGGCCUCCAACUGCUCUUAAAUACAAGUAAAACUAAAUGCAUGCUCUUCAACCGAUCGCUGCCUGCACCUGCCCGCCCGUCCAGCAUCACUACUCUGGACGGUUCUGACAUAGAAUAUGCGGACAACUACAAAUACCUAGGUGUCUGGUUAGACUGUAAACUCUCCUUCCAGACUCACAUCAAACAUCUCCAAUCCAAAGUUAAAUCUAGAAUUGGCUUCCUAUUUCGCAACAAAGCAUCCUUCACUCAUGCUGCCAAACAUACCGUCAUAAAACUGACCAUCCUACCGAUCCUCGACUUCGGCGAUGUAAUUUACAAAAUAGCCUCCAAUACCCUACUCAAUAAAUUGGAUGCAGUCUAUCACAGUGCCAUCCGUUUUGUCACCAAAGCCCCAUAUACUACCCACCACUGCGACCUGUAUGCUCUCGUUGGCUGGCCCUCGCUUCAUACUCAUCGCCAAACCCACCGGCGCCAGGUCAUCUACAAGACCCUGCUAGGUUAAGUCCCCCCUUAUCUCAGCUCACUGGUCACCAUAGCAGCACCCACCCGUAGCACGCGCUCCAGCAGGUAUAUCUCACUGGUCACCCCCAAAGCCAAUUCCUACUUUGGCCACCUCUCCUUCCAUUUCUCUGCUGCCAAUGACUGGAACAAAGUACAAAAAUCUCUGAAACUGGAAACGCUUAUCUCCCUCACUAGCUUUAAGCACCAGCUGUCAGAGCAGCUCACAGAUCACUGCACCUGUCCAUAGCCCAUCUAUAAAUAGCCCAUCCAACUACCCCUUCCCCUACUGUAUUUAUUUAUUUAUUUUGCUCCUUUGCAACCCAGUAUUUCUACUUUACACAUUCAUCUACUGCAAAUCUACCAUUCCAGUGUUUUACUUGCUAUAUUGUAUAUACUUCUCCACCAUGGCCUAUUUAUUUCCUUUACCUCCCUUAACUCACCUCAUUUGCUCACAUUGUAUAUAGACUUAUUUUUCUGCUGUAUGUUUGUUUUACUCCAUGUGUAACUCUUUGUUGUUUGUGUCGAACUGCUUUGCUUUAUCUUGGCCAGGUCGCAGUUGUAAAUGGGAACUUGUUCUCAACUUGCCUACCUGCUUAAAUAAAGAAGCCGACCAAGAAGGGACUUGUGAAGGUAACCAAACCAACAGGAGGAAAGAAAGGUAUAAAAUAAAUAAUGACCAAGAAGGCUGCAAAAAUACCCUCACAAAAUAUGAAAAGAAAAGUUUGUCAACUCAAUGGAACACAGCUCUCCUUUCUCUCCUCAUUACUAUCUGUGUAUUACUCCCCCUUUCUCUAAAUGGAACUCUGACUUCAUCAUACUUAUAUGAAGGACUGGUUCUAAAUGUAUAUAAACUGUCAACGUUAAUUGAUCCAAGGACAAACUCAAAUGUGUUGCAAAUCUUUGUCUGCCCCAUAAAAGGGUCUUGUUCAAAAUCGUCUUUUGUCUAACUUGUAAAUUAAAAUAUUACCACAAAGUAUAUUUCAUGUCUUUAAUUUGUUAUCCACAAUGGCAUUGUUUUCCAUUAGCGCUACUCAUUUUCAGCCGGCU
RNAcentral lists this long non-coding RNA (2011 nucleotides) under Salmo salar (Atlantic salmon). RNAcentral describes it as "lncRNA (ENSSSAG00000058392.2)". The record is from RNAcentral. Lineage: Eukaryota; Metazoa; Chordata; Actinopteri; Salmoniformes; Salmonidae.